UUCCGUAGGUGAACCUGCGGAAGGAUCAUUACCGAGUGCGGGAACCCAGUCGGGUCCCAAUCUCCCACCCGUGUCUACCACACCUAGUGUUGCUUUGGCGGGCCCACUCCUCCGGUGUUCCGCCGGGGGGGUCGUCCCGGGGCGCGGUGUGCCCCCGGGGCCCGUGCCCGCCAGAGGCACUCACUGUGAACGCUUUUGUGAAUGCGAGGAUUGUCUGAGUGACGAAAUGCAAUCGUUCAAAACUUUCAACAAUGGAUCUCUUGGUUCCGGCAUCGAUGAAGAACGCAGCGAAAUGCGAUAAGUAAUGUGAAUUGCAGAAUUCCGUGAAUCAUCGAAUCUUUGAACGCACAUUGCGCCCUCUGGUAUUCCGGGGGGCAUGCCUGUCCGAGCGUCAUUGCGAACCCUCAAGCACGGCUUGUGUGUUGGGCCGCCGUCCCCUCGUUUGGAGGGGACGGGCCUGAAAGGCAGCGGCGGCGUCGCGUCCGGUCCUCGAGCGUAUGGGGCUCUGUCACGCGCUCAAGGAGGGGUCCGGCCGGGGCCAUAGCCUCUGAAGGUCAAUUCUUCCAAGGUUGACCUCGGAUCAGGUAGGAGUACCCGCUGAACUUAAGCAUAUCAAUAAGCGGGAGGAA
Molecule: ribosomal RNA, 629 nt
Filed under: Thermomyces lanuginosus
Lineage: Eukaryota; Fungi; Ascomycota; Eurotiomycetes; Eurotiales; Trichocomaceae
Description: eukaryotic LSU rRNA
Rfam family: 5.8S ribosomal RNA (bases 241-394)
Source: RNAcentral